RNAcentral lists this long non-coding RNA (1283 nucleotides) under Anas zonorhyncha (Eastern spot-billed duck). RNAcentral describes it as "lncRNA (ENSAZOG00000009863.1)". Lineage: Eukaryota; Metazoa; Chordata; Aves; Anseriformes; Anatidae. The record is from RNAcentral.
UCAUGUUAACUACCUCUAUGAAUACAAUCAUUCCUGAAAAAUUAAGGAGAUAGAUGCAGCAGAAGAAUCCUUUUCUUUGCCUGCCACAGACCCAGAGCCACUGUGUCACUGGUAUUCUGAUCUGCAAAUCAUGUCUAUGUACAAACAGUCUCAGUUUAGAAAGUUCAGUUAUCUUCUUGGCCCUUUUGCAUUCAAUUAUACACAUGGAUGAAUUAGUGUAACCAUAUACAAGAAAGACUAACAUAACAUGACUCUAGAUAACUAGAACAAGUUAAUUUUAGAAAAUUUUGUAAAGACCAACUAGAUCCAGCAGUUGACAGAAAAAAUCACUAAACCAUUCUACUAUGUAACACAAUAAAAUUGUGUAUCAUUUAUUAUAAUACUUAUGCCUAUUUCAUAGUGCCUACAAAGUUCGCUGCAGUUAUGCAAAACUUGGAUAAAAAAAAUCCAGAGUGGGAACACAAAAGCAGCAAUAUACAUACAUAUACAUGCAUAUAUAUAUAUUUUUUUUUUAAUUUGAAAAUAAAAACCAUAAUAAAACAUACCAGUUACUGAGAGGAUAUGGUGGCAGAAGUACACAAGUACUUUUUUUUUUUUUUUUUUUUUUCCCACAGCUUUAAUCUGCUCAUUUCCGUAAGCAAUGAAAAUGACUCGUGUUGUGCAGAAGUAUUCAGGAAUCUCUAGUACAGUUUAGGCACAAAAAAAUAUUCAAAAUAUUUGUCUCUCUUCCCAACUGUGGUAGUAAGGGUGUAAAAAUGGUAUCUGCGUACAAGGCAGAGAAGUCUUCCAUGCAGUUCAAACAAGAGUAGAUUAUAAAAGGCUGCAGUGGGUUCUAAAAUUUCAAAGUCACAGAGAAAGCCAAAGUCACUACUCGGUUGUAUGAAGGCUUCUGAUGUAAGCACAAAGGGUAUGAAAGCUACAACUUCUCCAUAAAUCUCUCAUCUAGUAACAAUGUGAGGAUAUGAAAUCACAGGGCAGAGGAUACACAGUCUUACUGACUUCUGGAAAACUUCUUCUAGAAAAUGUAAUUAACUCCAAGUGUGAAUUUACAUUUUGUUUGUUUGUUUGUUUGUUUGUUUGUUUCCUCUCUAUUUUAAUCCAGCAUGCAACACCAUUUGCAACUUGUUUGCUGACCCAGACUACCUUCACCCACAAGUUAGAAAAACAGCAAUCAUGUUUUCCAAUGGAGAAAGGGAUCUGAGGCACAGCUGAACAUCAAGGGGAAUGACUUCAUUGAACCUCUACGAAAAGUCCUUGUCUUUUCCCUGAAAGGUUAUAUUCUU